UACGUAGGGGGCAAGCGUUGUCCGGAUUUAUUGGGCGUAAAGAGCGUGUAGGCGGCCGUACAGGUCAGCUGUGAAAACUCGAGGCUCAACCUCGAGACGUCGGUUGAAACCGUACGGCUAGAGUCCGGAAGAGGAGAGUGGAAUUCCCGGUGUAGCGGUGAAAUGCGCAGAUAUCGGGAAGAACACCCGUGGCGAAGGCGGCUCUCUGGGACGGUACUGACGCUGAGACGCGAAAGCGCGGGGAGCGAACAGG
RNAcentral lists this ribosomal RNA (253 nucleotides) under uncultured bacterium. RNAcentral's name for it is "partial 16S ribosomal RNA". It matches the Rfam family "Bacterial small subunit ribosomal RNA", at positions 524 to 776 of the family's 1533-position model. The record is from RNAcentral.